RNAcentral lists this ribosomal RNA (789 nucleotides) under Ceratobasidium theobromae. RNAcentral describes it as "eukaryotic LSU rRNA". The stretch from base 269 to 422 matches the Rfam family "5.8S ribosomal RNA". The record is from RNAcentral. Lineage: Eukaryota; Fungi; Basidiomycota; Agaricomycetes; Cantharellales; Ceratobasidiaceae.
AGUAAAAGUCGUAACAAGGUUUCCGUAGGUGAACCUGCGGAAGGAUCAUUAUUGAAUUUAAAUAAUAGAGUCUUGGCAGUUGCUGGCUUUUCAUUUUGGGAGCAAUUUGUGCACGCCUUACUCUUUUAUCCCUUACUUUAUACCCCUGUGCACUUGUGAGACGGGAGAGACCAAUUUAUUUAUUUAUCUUGGGUCUCUCGUCUACUAUAUAAUAUACAAACUCAUUUCAUUUAAACUGAAUGCAUUUGAUGUAACACAUCAUUGAACUAAGUUUCAACAACGGAUCUCUUGGCUCUCGCAUCGAUGAAGAACGCAGCGAAAUGCGAUAAGUAAUGUGAAUUGCAGAAUUCAGUGAAUCAUCGAAUCUUUGAACGCACCUUGCGCUCCUUGGUAUUCCUUGGAGCAUGCCUGUUUGAGUAUCAUGAAAAUUCUCAAAGCAAAUCUUUUGUUAAUUCAAUUGGCCUUUGCUUUGGACUUGGAGGUUCUUGCAGAUUUAUUUCUUGCUCCUCUUAAAUUCAUUAGCUGGAUCUCAGUAUAUUACUUGGUUCCACUUGGCGUGAUAAGUAUCACUCGCUGAGGACACUCUUGUAACAAAGGGGUGGCCAAGGGAAUACAGAUGAACCGCUUCUAAUCGUCUAUUUAUUUGGACAAAUUCAUUUUCAGAUCUGAUCUCAAAUCAGGUAGGACUACCCGCUGAACUUAAGCAUAUCAAUAAGCGGAGGAAAAGAAACUAACAAGGAUUCCCCUAGUAACGGCGAGUGAAGCGGGAAGAGCUCAAAUUUAAAAUCU